AAAGAACGCUGGCGGCAUGCCUAACACAUGCAAGUCGAACGAAUUAAUUUUAGCUUGCUAAAAUUAGUUAGUGGCAAACGGGUGAGUAACACGUAGGAAUCUACCUUGCAGUAAAGGAUAACAGUUGGAAACGACUGCUAAUACUAUAUACGCUCUUCGGAGGAAAGAUUUAUCGCUGCAAGAUGAGCCUGCGCUAGAUUAGGUAGUUGGUGAGGUAAUGGCUCACCAAGCCUACGAUCUAUAGCUGGUCUGAGAGGAUGAUCAGCCACACUGGGACUGAGACACGGCCAGACUCCUACGGGAGGCAGCAGUGGGGAAUAUUGGACAAUGGGCGCAAGCCUGAUCCAGCAAUGCCGCGUGAAUGAUGAAGG
This 371-nucleotide ribosomal RNA is filed under the name uncultured bacterium. Its description in RNAcentral is "bacterial SSU rRNA". It matches the Rfam family "Bacterial small subunit ribosomal RNA", at positions 31 to 414 of the family's 1533-position model. The record is from RNAcentral.